RNAcentral lists this ribosomal RNA (405 nucleotides) under uncultured bacterium. RNAcentral describes it as "partial 16S ribosomal RNA". It matches the Rfam family "Bacterial small subunit ribosomal RNA", at positions 30 to 526 of the family's 1533-position model. The record is from RNAcentral.
AUUGAACGCUGGCGGCAGGCCUAACACAUGCAAGUCGAACGAGUGGCGGACGGGUGAGUAAUGUCUGGGAAACUGCCUGAUGGAGGGGGAUAACUACUGGAAACGGUAGCUAAUACCGCAUACCAUCAGAUGUGCCCAGAUGGGAUUAGCUAGUUGGUGGGGUAACGGCUCACCAAGGCGACGAUCCCUAGCUGGUCUGAGAGGAUGCCCAGCCACACUGGAACUGAGACACGUUCCAGACUCCUACGGGGGGCAGCAGUGGGGAAUAUUGCCAAAUGGGCGCAAGCCUGAGGCAGCCAUGCCGGGUGUAUGAAGAAGGCCUUCGGGUUGUAAAGUACUUUCAGCGGGGAGGCGUUACCCGAAGAAGAAGCACCGGCUAACUCCGUGCAAGCAGCCGCGUAAUUC